UACGGGGGGAGCAAGCGUUGUUCGGAUUUACUGGGCGUAAAGGGCGCGUAGGCGGCCAGCACAAGUCAGUUGUGAAAUCUCCGAGCUUAACUCGGAAAGGUCAACUGAUACUGUGCGGCUAGGGUGCGGAAGGGGCAACUGGAAUUCUUGGUGUAGCGGUGAAAUGCGUAGAUAUCAAGAGGAACACCUGCGGCGAAGGCGGGUUGCUGGGCCGACACUGACGCUGAGGCGCGAAAGCCAGGGGAGCGAACGGG
Molecule: ribosomal RNA, 254 nt
Filed under: uncultured bacterium
Lineage: Bacteria
Description: partial 16S ribosomal RNA
Rfam family: Bacterial small subunit ribosomal RNA
Source: RNAcentral